RNAcentral lists this ribosomal RNA (687 nucleotides) under uncultured crenarchaeote. RNAcentral describes it as "bacterial SSU rRNA". It matches the Rfam family "Archaeal small subunit ribosomal RNA", at positions 19 to 687 of the family's 1478-position model. Lineage: Archaea; Thermoproteati; Thermoproteota. The record is from RNAcentral.
GGACUCCACUGCUAUCGGGGUAAGGCUAAGCCAUGCAAGUCGAAGGCCUCCGGCUCCGGGGGCCUGGCGUACGGCUGAGUAACGCGUGGCCAACCUGCCCUGCGGAGGGGGAUAACCCCGGGAAACUGGGGAUAAACCCCCAUAGGUGACCGGGUCUGGAAGGACCGGUCGCCGAAAGUCCCGGUCGGGGACGCUCCGGCCGGGAGCCGCAGGAUGGGGCUGCGUCCUAUCAGGUAGUUGGUGGGGUAACGGCCCACCAAGCCUGUGACGGGUAGGGGCCCUGAGAGGGGGAGCCCCCAGAUGGACUCUGAGACAAGAGUCCAGGCCCUACGGGGCGCAGCAGGCGCGAAAACUCCGCAAUGGGCGAAAGCCCGACGGGGUUACCCCGAGUGCCACCCUCGUGGUGGCUUUUGCCCGCUCUAAAAAGGCGGGCGAAUAAGGGGAGGGCAAGUCGGGUGUCAGCCGCCGCGGUAAUACCCGCUCCCCGAGUGGUGGAGGCUAUUACUGGGCCUAAAGCGCCCGUAGCCGGCCCGGUGUGUCCCUCGUUAAAUCCACGGGCUUAACCCGUGGGCUGCGGGGGAUACUACCGGGCUUGGGGGUGGGAGAGGCGCCCGGUAUUCCCGGGGUAGGGGUAAAAUCCUCUGAUCCCGGGAGGACCAUCAGUGGCGAAGGCGGGGCGCCAGAACA